This 253-nucleotide ribosomal RNA is filed under the name uncultured bacterium. RNAcentral describes it as "partial 16S ribosomal RNA". It matches the Rfam family "Bacterial small subunit ribosomal RNA", at positions 524 to 776 of the family's 1533-position model. The record is from RNAcentral.
UACGUAGGGGGCAAGCGUUGUCCGGAAUCAUUGGGCGUAAAGCGCGCGUAGGCGGCUCGAUCAGUCUGCUGUGAAAGUCAAAGGCUCAACCUUUGAAUGCCGGUGGAUACUGUCGAGCUAGAGUCCGGAAGAGGCGGGUGGAAUUCCUGGUGUAGCGGUGGAAUGCGCAGAUAUCAGGAGGAACACCAACGGCGAAGGCAGCCCGCUGGGACGGUACUGACGCUAAGGCGCGAAAGCGUGGGGAGCGAACAGG